GAUUUUCAAUAAACAUAAAAAUUCAUCCACUCACCGAUAUCCUCGAUAAGCAACAAAACACCAAGAAAUCUUCGAAGAUCUUUUUUCGUCAGAUCUAUGGUGUAUAUAAGUUCGUCAGGGACCAGCGUGGCAAUAAUUCUAACUUGUCGCAGAUUGGCAUUGCUGCCUUUGAAGACUGGACCAAAUAAAUCUGGCGUCCAAGAAAGGUCAUCUUUACUUUUCCUCCUGUCCAUUUUCAUUUGCAAUGAAAUGCCGGAGCUAUUUUUUUUGCAGUUUUGACAAUUUUCAUCGAUUUUCGACUGUCGUUUUUUUUCUGUUCCUAUCAACAUUGGAUCAGGAUUGGUCAUAUUACAUAUAAGAGGGAAUGUCAGUUAUUACGUAGUCCUAAGCUAUUACUACGCUAUACAUAACAUAGGUAAAUCCAUUUGAUUGGACUUGUCGUGACCUGCAGCCGAUGAUUUCGCAUUAACAAAGCGAGUCGUGAGCCGAAGUGAAGGCAAUAAACGAUCAAUAGAUUGUCCGACGAUCGAUCAUCGAUCACGAAUUCACAAGUAAUACCGUCAUUAAAUUCAUCCUCGAGGAAUCAUUAAAGUUGCAUAUCCAGCAAAGAAAAGAGGAUCAUAACGUUGGAGCUAGUGGCGCCAUCUUCAAGUUUUGUCAUUAAGAAAAAUGAAACUUUAAAGAAAUAAAAAAAUUAAGCUUGAGAUUUAAGAACGCGCGUAAAAGUUGUUCAAAUUGAAAAACAUAAAAUUAUUAUUAAAUUUCCAGAAUGGCUGCUCGAGUCACAACUAAAAUACGAAUUUCGUGUUCGACAUCCAGUGGAAAAGGAAUAAGGAAGAUUUCUUCAAGUAUGAAAGAUGGCGCCUGAUCCUCACAGAUUGCAAGAAAAAAGCGAGGAAGAGACAAAGUUAUGAUAAAGAAACGAAAAAAAGUAUAAUCGCCGAGCAAAUUCCUGCCGGACGUUGUUGAAGACAAGUAAAAAAGCUAACGAACGAAAAGUGGACAAGGCCACAAUGAAUUAAUACCGAACGUGGAAGAAUGAUCCGCUGAUAUUGAAUCUCAAUGAAUUCGCGACGAACUCCGUCCGAGAUAAUGAUAAUCCAGAAGGACGUUCGGAAUGUAACAGCCAUAUUGUGGAUGAU
Molecule: long non-coding RNA, 1142 nt
Organism: Cephus cinctus (wheat stem sawfly)
Lineage: Eukaryota; Metazoa; Arthropoda; Insecta; Hymenoptera; Cephidae
Exons: 4
Source: RefSeq, a predicted model, not a curated record